RNAcentral lists this ribosomal RNA (550 nucleotides) under uncultured bacterium. RNAcentral describes it as "bacterial SSU rRNA". It matches the Rfam family "Bacterial small subunit ribosomal RNA", at positions 355 to 896 of the family's 1533-position model. The record is from RNAcentral.
UAGGGAAUCUUCCGCAGUGGGCGAAAGCCUGACGGAGCAACGCCGCGUGAGUGAUGAAGGUCUUCGGAUCGUAAAACUCUGUUAUUAGGGAAGAACAUAUGUGUAAGUAACUGUGCACAUCUUGACGGUACCUUAUCAGAAAGCCACGGCUAACUACGUGCCAGCAGCCGCGGUAAUACGUAGGUGGCAAGCGUUAUCCGGAAUUAUUGGGCGUAAAGCGCGCGUAGGCGGUUUUUUAAGUCUGAUGUGAAAGCCCACGGCUCAACCGUGGAGGGUCAUUGGAAACUGGAAAACUUGAGUGCAGAAGAGGAAAGUGGAAUUCCAUGUGUAGCGGUGAAAUGCGCAGAGAUAUGGAGGAACACCAGUGGCGAAGGCGACUUUCUGGUCUGUAACUGACGCUGAUGUGCGAAAGCGUGGGGAUCAAACAGGAUUAGAUACCCUGGUAGUCCACGCCGUAAACGAUGAGUGCUAAGUGUUAGGGGGUUUCCGCCCCUUAGUGCUGCAGCUAACGCAUUAAGCACUCCGCCUGGGGAGUACGACCGCAAGGUUG